RNAcentral lists this ribosomal RNA (1423 nucleotides) under Triticum aestivum (bread wheat). RNAcentral describes it as "partial small subunit ribosomal RNA". Lineage: Eukaryota; Viridiplantae; Streptophyta; Magnoliopsida; Poales; Poaceae. The record is from RNAcentral.
GCACGUGCCCCCACCCCGGCCCCAAAAUUCCCCAAUCUGCCCAGCGCCCCCGGUCUCCGCAGCUUCUCCCUACCCGCACUGCCGCGCACCGCCAAAUCCUCCUCGAAUUCCGCCGAUCCGGUCGGCCCCUCGUCGGAACCGCCCGCCCCGCGCACCUCCGAUCCCCGCCGCCGGUGGUCGCCCGCGAGGCCAGGCGAGUCGGCGGCCCGUCACCCGCCCCCCGCGCCGUCGCCGGCUCUACCAAGGAGAAGAUCCUUAUGAGUUGGUUGGCUGUGAAUUCAUAUAAAUUCUGGUACUGUGAAAAUGGGUCAAAAGGUGGCAGGAAGUUCGUGACGAGAUUAACCAUAGACGAUUGAGGCCUGAGUGGAUUUAGGAAGAUCAGAUACAGUGAAAAGGGAGCGCAGUCGUGAUGGACAGAGCUGGCGGUAACCAAGCAGGCCAGGUGUCGAAGAAAGGAAAGAAGAAGCACGCGAAAGACGAGUCAGACCGGCAGAAGCAGGCUGAGAAGAAGAGGCGCCGGCUGGAGAAAGCGCUCGCAAACUCUGCCGCGAUCAUCUCGGAACUGGAGAAGAAGCGGCAGCAGAAACAGGAGGAGCAGAGGAGGCUGGACGACGAAGGGGCCGCGAUAGCCGAGGCGGUGGCCCUUCAUGUCCUCAUAGGCGAAGACUGCGAUGAACCCCGUCAGCUGAGGUGGAACGGCCAUAGAGGCCGCGGCCAUCGGGACGAUUUCGUGGAUCACGAACCGGCUCUAGGCGCGCAAGGAGCAGGAGCAGAUACCUAUCCAUAUGGAAGCCGGUCACCGCUGGCACGGGCCCCUCGUUCCCACGUGCCCCAGUGGAGGCUCACCGACUGUGGCAUGUCCGGGCCAUUCUCGUUCUCAUCGUGGGAGCGAAUGGGCGAUUUUGAGGGGCUAUACUGCGAAGGGGCACCCUGCCAGACAGACCAAGACACUUACUGCCACGGCCUCGUAGCAGCAACCCAGGCCGUCUCUCCAUUCGGAUACGGUUCGGAGGAUCCAUUCCCUGCCCAUGGAACGGAGGGGGCUUCCUCCAUCAACAUCAUGCUGGGCGGCACCAGCAACAGCCUGAACAUCUACAGAAGACAAUUCUAGAUCAUAGUUACUUUCUUUUUUACACCAAAGGUCGAUCUUUUCAUUUGCUGUGAUACUUAGUGUUGCGCCGAGAAACCAAAAGUGGAUAUAGGAUAUAUAGGAGCCGUCUUACUGUCGAGUCGAAGCAGAAGCGGUGUGUAUUUGGCGUCAGUUUGUUACAGACAGUGGGUUUUUGUGAUGAAUUAUUAAUAUAUGUUUUUGCUUUUACCAGAGGGUGAUGUGUAUGUGUAGCUCAAUUUGUUGCUGCAUGCUCCAGUCCCAGUGUGUUUGCACCAGAUGGAGAUGAGAUUUGGUUGUGGUAGUGCUGGUCGG